This is a non-coding RNA of Amborella trichopoda, 711 nucleotides long. The record is from RefSeq and is a predicted model, not a curated record. Lineage: Eukaryota; Viridiplantae; Streptophyta; Magnoliopsida; Amborellales; Amborellaceae.
CCCAGCAACUUUUCAGGUUAUUUAUAUGACUGGAUGGAGGGAGCACCCUUCUCAGCAGAAAGCCAAGAGUAGAGGCUCUGCAACCGUCUCAUUUAAGGACAUCCAAAAGCAUUUAGGCAAAACAGAAGACGCUCCUACAUAGAUUGUUCAGUCUCUGUAUGAUUCCUUCAGUUAAACGUGUAGAAAAGUGACGAUCCAGUACGGACAUUUUGUGAGGUUCAAAGCAUGGAGCAAGGAAGGGCUCCCCAUUCAAAAGAGGGCUCCCCAUUCAAAAGAACAUGGCUAGGAUUUGUAAUGCCUUAAGACAACUUUUUGGUAGUUCAUCAUUUGCAUUCAAACGUUGGACAUAAUAUUGCAACCAUCAACACCAUAAUCAAAGAAGCACAAGCUAGAAUCCUGACAAGUAAAGGAAACGACCAUCAUGGAUUUUGGUCUUCUUGUUUUCUUUCUAGGUUUUUGGUGGGAAAUGUACUGAUUGGGAUGUAUAAUCAUUGUGGUAUUGUUGAAAAAUAUCAUUUUAUCGGCGGAAAAUACAACACAUAUGUAGUUACAUAAAGAAAGUUUUACUCUUCCAAAAUUCUGCCUUGAAAAUAGAGAAAAUCAAAAGAAGUAUGCUGUUUACUUAUUCAUAGAUAUUGCUUUGAAGACUGGGUUUUUCCAUAUUGGUUUUUCCAUAUUGGAGUAUAAAUGUAAUUUAUUUGAUGCUAUACA